AUAAAAUUAUUUUGACUCUAGGUCUGUUCAUAUGGUGUCAAGCUGCAGAGACUUUGGAUCAACUAACAGAUUUGGGACAAAAUGUGACUAUAAACUGUGAUCUGGACUCAAAUGAAGUUUAUUGGAUUUUACUGAAACAAUCAGAUUCUCAUACAGUGAUACUGCGCUCAUUCUCAAACCCAACAUCUGCUUUUUACUUAAAUGAAACAUUUAAAAACAAAUAUUCAGUACAAUCUAAACACCGUCUGGUGAUAUAUAAUAUUACUGUAGAUGAGUUAGGAGUUUAUUACUGUAUGAACACAGAUACACCUCCAAAACUCAGUAACAGCACAAGACUGCACAUCAAUGGUCAGUGUUUAUAAUUAAUUGCCAAGUUAUUUAAAUACUUAAACAACAUCAUUUACCAAUUGUUGUUCUGGAAAAAAGAUGAAAGUGUUGACAAUCAGUCGUUUUUAAAAAAAAUAAUUUCCUUUCAGAGCCGACUGAACUCACAGAGUUAUCCGUGUAUGUGAAUGAGACUUUAGUGAAGUGUAUUGAACACAAUGAGACACAAUGGCACUUUAUCAUCAUUAUAUCUGCGCUACUAAACGCUCUGAUCAUUAUCAUCACUGUAGUUAGUUGUUACUCUAAAGAAAGAUUAAAGCUUCAGGAUACAGAUCUACAGCAGACUAAACACGUGUAUCUAAAACAACACGAAGAGAUGAGCCGAGUACAGUACACUGCAGUGAGAUUUUCAACAUGUGAGGAGUCUGAAGACACUCGAGUCGACUGAACUUCUGCUCUUCUAACAGUUUCAUUUCUUAUAAUGUUUAAUAAAGUAUCAAUGUUAUCAGUUAAUGUUGCUUAUAAAGUCAUGAAUAAAUAAUCUUUGUGAAAUCUACCAUGUUUUACUGUGGUAACUGCUAUAGAGGUUGUGAUGUCUUUUGUUUUUGAUUGUUGAUUGAGAACAGGAACUUGAUGGUUGGACUCGAUGUUGUGGGUGUUUAAAUAAAGAUCAGGUGUUGAUAUUCAACAGAAAACCACUGAAGACAAAUGACAGAAAUAUACUAUGACUAAAUUAUUCAUGUGAAUGUUUUGCACUGACUCUUUGUUGAGGUUAAUCUUUGUA
Non-coding RNA from Misgurnus anguillicaudatus (oriental weatherfish), 1108 nucleotides. The record is from RefSeq and is a predicted model, not a curated record. Lineage: Eukaryota; Metazoa; Chordata; Actinopteri; Cypriniformes; Cobitidae.